GAUGAACGCUAGCUACAGGCUUAACACAUGCAAGUCGAGGGGCAGCAUGACCUAGCAAUAGGAUGAUGGCGACCGGCGCACGGGUGAGUAACACGUAUCCAACCUGCCGAUUAUUCCGGGAUAGCCUUUCGAAAGAAAGAUUAAUACUGGAUAGCAUAACGAGAAGGCAUCUUCUUGUUAUUAAAGAAUUUCGAUAAUCGAUGGGGAUGCGUUCCAUUAGUUUGUUGGCGGGGUAACGGCCCACCAAGACAUCGAUGGAUAGGGGUUCUGAGAGGAAGGUCCCCCACAUUGGAACUGAGACACGGUCCAAACUCCUACGGGAGGCAGCAGUGAGGAAUAUUGGUCAAUGGACGAGAGUCUGAACCAGCCAAGUAGCGUGAAGGAUGACUGCCCUAUGGGUUGUAAACUUCUUUUAUAUGGGAAUAAAGUGGGCCACGUGUGGCUUUUUGUAUGUACCAUACGAAUAAGGAUCGGCUAACUCCGUG
RNAcentral lists this ribosomal RNA (485 nucleotides) under uncultured bacterium. Its description in RNAcentral is "partial 16S ribosomal RNA". It matches the Rfam family "Bacterial small subunit ribosomal RNA", at positions 28 to 507 of the family's 1533-position model. The record is from RNAcentral.